AUUGAACGCUGGCGGCGAUGCUUAACACAUGCAAGUCGAACGGUAACAGGGUCUAGGCUUGCUAGAUGCUGACGAGUGGCGGACGGGUGAGUAACGCGUGGGAAUCUGCCUUCUAGUGGGGGAUAGCCCCGGAGAAAUCCGGAUUAAUACCGCAUACGCCCUACGGGGAAAGCCGGGGAGUCUUCGGACCUGGCGCUAGUAGAUGAGCCCGCGUGAGAUUAGCUUGUUGGUGGGGUAAUGGCCUACCAAGGCAACGAUCUCUAGCUGGUCUGAGAGGACGAUCAGCCACACUGGGACUGAGACACGGCCCAGACUCCUACGGGAGGCAGCAGUGGGGAAUAUUGGACAAUGGGCGAAAGCCUGAUCCAGCAAUGCCGCGUGUGUGAAGAAGGCCUGAGGGUUGUAAAGCACUUUCAAUCGUGAAGAAAAGUACACAGGCUAAUACCCUGUGACCUUGACGUUAACG
Molecule: ribosomal RNA, 466 nt
Filed under: uncultured bacterium
Lineage: Bacteria
Description: bacterial SSU rRNA
Rfam family: Bacterial small subunit ribosomal RNA
Source: RNAcentral